Long non-coding RNA from Phasianus colchicus (ring-necked pheasant), 1495 nucleotides. Lineage: Eukaryota; Metazoa; Chordata; Aves; Galliformes; Phasianidae. The record is from Ensembl.
AAUGGAGGCACAAUUAAGGGGGAAUCAAUUAAUGGGGAAUCAAUCAGUGGGGGCACAAUUAAUGGGGAAUCAAUUAAUGGGCAAUCAAUUAAUGGGGGCCAAACAAUGGGGAACCUAUCAGCCAAUGGGGGCACAAUUAACGGGGAAUCAAUUAACGGGGAAUCGAUUAAUGGGGAAUCAAUCAAUCAAUGGGGUCGCAAUCAAUCAAUGGGGUCACAGCCAAUCAAUGGGGCCGCAAUCAAUGGGGAAUCAAUCAAUGGGGCCACAACCAAUCAAUGGGGUCGCAGUCAAUCAAUGGGGUCACAGUCAACCAAUGGGGCCACAGUCAAUCAAUGGGGCCGCAAUCAAUGGGGCCGCAAUCAAUGGGGUCACAACCAAUCAAUGGGGUCACAAUCAAUGGGGACGCAAUCAAUGGGGAAUCAAUCAAUGGGGUCGCAAUCAAUGGGGAAUCAAUCAAUGGGGUCGCAAUCAAUCAAUGGGGUCGCAAUCAAUGGGGCCACAACCAAUCAAUGGGGCCGCAAUCAAUGGGGUCGCAGUCAAUGGGGCCACAACCAAUCAAUGGGGUCGCAAUCAAUGGGGACGCAAUCAAUGGGGAAUCAAUCAAUGGGGCCACAAUCCAUCAAUGGGGCCACAACCAAUCAAUGGGGUCACAGUCAACCAAUGGGGCCGCAACCAAUCAAUGGGGCCGCAAUCAAUGGGGUUGCAAUCAAUGGGGCCGCAAUCAAUCAAUGGGGUCACAGUCAACCAAUGGGGCCGCAACCAAUCAAUGGGGCCGCAAUCAAUGGGGCCGCAACCAAUCAAUGGGGAAUCAAUCAAUGGGGCCGCAAUCAACCAAUGGGGCCGCAACCAAUCAAUGGGGCCGCAAUCAAUGGGGUCACAAUCAAUCAAUGGGGCCGCAAUCAAUGGGGAAUCAAUCAAUGGGGUCACAACCAAUCAAUGGGGCCACAACCAAUCAAUGGGGCCGCAAUCAAUGGGGCCGCAAUCAAUGGGGUCGCAAUCAAUGGGGUCGCAAUCAAUCAGUGGGGCCGCAAUCAAUGGGGCUGCAAUCAAUGGGGCCGCAACCAAUCAAUGGGGCCGCAAUCAAUGGGGUCACAACCAAUCAAUGGGGUCACAUCCAAUCAAUGGGGCCGCAAUCAAUCAAUGGGGCUGGAAUCAAUAGGGAAUCAGUCAAUGGGGUCGCAAUCAAUCAAUGGGGCCGCAGUCAAUCAAUGGGGCUGCAAUCAAUGGGGCUGCAAUCAAUGGGGCCACAACCAAUCAAUGGGGUCGCAAUCAAUGGGGCCGCAAUCAAUGGGGUCACAACCAAUCAAUGGGGUCACAAUCAAUGGGGUCGCAAUCAAUGGGGUCGCAAUCAAUGGGGCCGCAAUCAAUGGGGUCACAACCAAUCAAUGGGGCCACAAUCAAUGGGGCCACAAUCAAUGGGGCCGCAAUCAAUGGGGUCGCAACCAAUCAAUGGGGCCGCAACCAAUCAAUGGGGCCACAAUCAAUGGGGAAUCAA